RNAcentral lists this long non-coding RNA (1101 nucleotides) under Oncorhynchus mykiss (rainbow trout). Its description in RNAcentral is "lncRNA (ENSOMYG00000076912.1)". Lineage: Eukaryota; Metazoa; Chordata; Actinopteri; Salmoniformes; Salmonidae. The record is from RNAcentral.
AUGCAACAUAACCCCCUAGCUCUUCCCUCCUCUCUCUCCCCCCUCCUCUCCCUCCCCCCAUCCCUCUCUCUCCUCCUCUCCCUCCCUCCCCCAUCCCCCUCUCUCUCCUCCUCUCUCUCCUCCUCUCUCCUCUCUCUCUCCUCUCUCUCUCCUCUCUCUCCUCCUCUCUCUCCUCCUCUCUCCUCCUCUCUCUCUCCUCUCUCCCCUCCUCCUCUCUCCCCUCUUCUCCCUCUCUCUCCUCCUCUCUCUCCUCCUCUCUCCUCCUCUCUCUCACCUCCUCUCUCCUCCUCUCUCUCUCUCCUCUCUCUCUACACCUCUCUCCUCUCUCUCUACACCUCUCUCCUCCUCUCUCUACACCUCUCUCCUCUCUCUCCUCCUCUCUCCUCCUCUCUCUCUCCUCUCUCUCUCCUCUCUCUCUCCUCCUCUCUCUCCUCCUCUCUCUCUCCUGCUCUCUCUCUCCUCCUCUCUCUCCUCUCUCUCUCCUCUCUCUCUCCUCCUCUCUCUCUCCUCCUCUCUCAUCCUCUCUCUCUCCUCCUCUCUCCUCCUCUCUCUCUCUCCUCUCUCUCUAAACCUCUCUCCUCUCUCUCUACACCUCUCUCCUCCUCUCUCUCUCCUCUCUCUCUCCUCCUCUCUCUCUCCUGCUCUCUCUCUCCUCCUCUCUCUCUCCUCUCUCUCCUCCUCUCUCUACACCUCUCUCCUCCUCUCUCUCUCCUCUCUCUCUCUCUCUCUAUCCUGCUCUCUCUCUCCUCCUCUCUCUCUCCUCCUCUCUCUCCUCCUCUCUCUCCUCCUAUCUCUCUCCUCCUCUCUCCUCCUCUCUCUCUAUCUCCACUCUCUCUCCUCCUCUCUCUCUCCUCCUCUCUCUCUCCUCCUCUCGCUCUCCUCUCUCUCUCUCCUCUCUCUCUCCUCUCUCUCCUCUCUCUCUCUCCUCCUCUCUCCUCUCUCUCCUCUCUCCUCUCUCUCUCCUCCUCUCUCUCUCUCCUCUCUCUCUCCUCUUUCUCUACAGCUCUCUCCUCCUCUCUCUUCCUCCAUCGUCUGACAUCAAGUCUUUUUCUUUAUUUUUAUAACCACUUAUUUUUCUCUCGUUUAAAAAAAAGAAGAUAA